GACAUCACUUAAGGAAGAAGGGAAAAGGAGGCCACAGCAAGGCCAGAGGAAUGGUCAGAAAAUGGAGUUGGAGAGUGUGGUGCUUCGGAGAAGGGAGCAGGUGGAGACAUACGCCGACUGCAGCCCAGGUGGCCAACAGGGUCUACCGUGUGCAUGGUGCAAGGCACCGGAGGCAGAGUGGACAUGUGUCACGGCUGUCCGAGAGAGGUGACCAGGUCACUGAAGGAGAACGCGCUGGACAAAGAUUACAGUGCAACCCAGUGGACAUCCUAGAGGCAUUGUGAGGGGGAGCAUCCAGCAUAUUGUUAAUCAAAGGUGGACAUUCUGCCUUAUUCAUCUUUCCAUACCUAGCACUCAGUACAAUGCCUGGCAUGAGGAACUUUUGCUGACCAGAGAAAGCAGCAACCUCCUCAACACGC
Long non-coding RNA from Bubalus bubalis (water buffalo), 419 nucleotides. RefSeq lists it as uncharacterized. The transcript is spliced from 3 exons. Lineage: Eukaryota; Metazoa; Chordata; Mammalia; Artiodactyla; Bovidae. The record is from RefSeq and is a predicted model, not a curated record.